GAGGGUAUAGCUCAAGUGGUAGAGUGCAUGCUUAGCAUGCAGGAGGUCCUGGGUUUGAUCCCCAGAAUCUCCA
Molecule: transfer RNA, 73 nt
Organism: Camelus ferus (Wild Bactrian camel)
Lineage: Eukaryota; Metazoa; Chordata; Mammalia; Artiodactyla; Camelidae
Rfam family: tRNA
About the family: Transfer RNA (tRNA) molecules are approximately 80 nucleotides in length. Their secondary structure includes four short double-helical elements and three loops (D, anti-codon, and T loops).
Source: Rfam